RNAcentral lists this ribosomal RNA (2995 nucleotides) under Endozoicomonas ascidiicola. RNAcentral's name for it is "bacterial LSU rRNA". Lineage: Bacteria; Pseudomonadati; Pseudomonadota; Gammaproteobacteria; Oceanospirillales; Endozoicomonadaceae. The record is from RNAcentral.
AGCGUACACGGUGGAUGCCUUGGCAGUCAGAGGCGAUGAAGGACGUGGUAAUCUGCGAUAAGCUUUGGGGAGCCGAUAAACAGGCCUUGAUCCAGAGAUUUCCGAAUGGGGAAACCCAACCGCAUAAGCGGUUAUUCUUUAGCUGAAUACAUAGGCUUUAGAAGGCGAACCCGGGGAACUGAAACAUCUAAGUACCCGGAGGAAAAGAAAUCAAUUGAGAUUCCCCUAGUAGCGGCGAGCGAACGGGGAUUAGCCCUUAAGCARUUUKGGUGUUAGCGGAAGGCUCUGGAAAGUGCCGCCAUAGUGGGUGAUAGCCCCGUACGCGAAAAUGCCCUUAUUGUGAAAUCGAGUAGGUCGGGACACGAGAAAUCCUGACUGAACUGUCUUCGGACGAGGGGGGACCAUCCUCCAAGGCUAAAUACUCCUGACUGACCGAUAGUGAACCAGUACCGUGAGGGAAAGGCGAAAAGAACCCCGUUGAGGGGAGUGAAAUAGAACCUGAAUCCGUGUACGUACAAGCAGUGGGAGCAAGCACUCUUUAUUUAUAAAGCACGUCUUGUGACUGCGUACCUUUUGUAUAAUGGGUCAGCGACUUAAUUUCAGUGGCAAGGUUAACCGUAUAGGGGAGCCGUAGGGAAACCGAGUCUUAAUAGGGCGUGAAGUCUUUAACGAGACUGGAAGUCGCUGGGAUUAGACCCGAAACCGGGCGAUCUAUCCAUGGGCAGGUUGAAGAUUGAGUAACAUCAAUUGGAGGACCGAACCGACUAUCGUUGAAAAGCUAGCGGAUGACUUGUGGAUAGGAGUGAAAGGCUAAUCAAGCCCGGAGAUAGCUGGUUCUCCUCGAAAGCUAUUUAGGUAGCGCCUCGUGUAUCACCAUUGGGGGUAGAGCACUGUUUGGGCUAGGGGGUCAUCCCGACUUACCAACCCCAUGCAAACUCCGAAUACCAAUGAGUGCAAUCACGGGAGACACACGGCGGGUGCUAACGUCCGUCGUGGAAAGGGAAACAACCCAGACCGUCAGCUAAGGUCCCAAAGUUCUAGUUAAGUGGGAAACGAUGUGAGAAGGCCCAGACAGCCAGGAGGUUGGCUUAGAAGCAGCCACCCUUUAAAGAAAGCGUAAUAGCUCACUGGUCGAGUCGGCUCGCGCGGAAGAUUUAACGGGGCUCAAACUAGACACCGAAGCUACGGGUUUCAGUGGUCAGUUUUCAGUUGUUAGUUAGCAGUUGUAAGUUUAAAAACUGCAAACACAGUAAAAUGUUGGUUGGUUUGCACAAGAGUUUCCAAUAACUCUGAGCAAAACUGACGACCAACAACUGAAAACUGACCAUUGAAGCGGUAGAGGAGCGUUCUGUAAGCCGUUGAAGGUGUAUCGGGAGGUAUGCUGGAGGUAUCAGAAGUGCGAAUGCUGACAUGAGUAACGACAAGGGGAGUGAGAAGCUCCCCCGCCGGAAGACCAAGGGUUCCUGCGCAACGUUAAUCGGCGCAGGGUGAGUCGGCCCCUAAGGUGAGGUCGAAAGACGUAAUCGAUGGGAAACAGGUCAAUAUUCCUGUACCCCUUUUGACUGCGACGGAGUGACGGAGAAGGCUAGGUCAGCGCGGCGUUGGUUGUCCGCGUUUAAGAUCGUAGGCUGGGGACCCAGGCAAAUCCGGGUCCUCAAGGCCGAGAAUUGAUGACGAGGUUCUACGGAACUGAAGUGAUUGAUGCCAUGCUUCCAGGAAAAACUUCUAAGCUUCAGGUCAAAAGGGACCGUACCCCAAACCGACACAGGUGGUCAGGUAGAGAAUACCAAGGCGCUUGAGAGAACUCGGGUGAAGGAACUAGGCAAAAUGGCACCGUAACUUCGGGAGAAGGUGCGCCGGCUUUGGUGAUCGGACUUGCUCCGUAAGCUGAGGCUGGUCGAAGAUACCAGGUGGCUGCGACUGUUUAUUAAAAACACAGCACUGUGCAAACACGAAAGUGGACGUAUACGGUGUGACGCCUGCCCGGUGCUCGAAGGUUAAUUGAUGGGGUUAUCCCUCUUUUAGGAGAGUGGAGAAGCUCUUGAUCGAAGCCCGAGUAAACGGCGGCCGUAACUAUAACGGUCCUAAGGUAGCGAAAUUCCUUGUCGGGUAAGUUCCGACCUGCACGAAUGGCGUAACGAUGGCCACGCUGUCUCCACCCGAGACUCAGUGAAAUUGAAAUCGCUGUUAAGAUGCAGCGUAUCCGCGGCUAGACGGAAAGACCCCGUGAACCUUUACUAUAGCUUCACAGUGGAUUUUGAUGUUGCUUGUGUAGGAUAGGUGGGAGGCUUUGAAGCGWKGACGCUAGUUMKYGUGGAGYCAAUCUUGAAAUACCACCCUGGCAAUAUUGGAGUUCUAACCCAGGUCCUGAAACGGGAUCGGGGACAUUGUGUGGUGGGUAGUUUGACUGGGGCGGUCUCCUCCCAAAGAGUAACGGAGGAGCACGAAGGUUGGCUAAGUACGGUCGGACAUCGUACGGUUAGUGUAAUGGCACAAGCCAGCUUGACUGCGAGAGGUACAUCUCGAGCAGGUACGAAAGUAGGUCAUAGUGAUCCGGUGGUUCUGAAUGGAAGGGCCAUCGCUCAACGGAUAAAAGGUACUCCGGGGAUAACAGGCUGAUACCGCCCAAGAGUUCACAUCGACGGCGGUGUUUGGCACCUCGAUGUCGGCUCAUCACAUCCUGGGGCUGAAGCCGGUCCCAAGGGUAUGGCUGUUCGCCAUUUAAAGUGGUACGCGAGCUGGGUUUAGAACGUCGUGAGACAGUUCGGUCCCUAUCUGCCGUGGACGUUGGAAGUUUGAGAAGAGCUGCUCCUAGUACGAGAGGACCGGAGUGGACGGACCACUGGUGUUCGGGUUGUGUCGCCAGACGCAUUGCCCGGUAGCUAUGUUCGGACGGGAUAACCGCUGAAAGCAUCUAAGCGGGAAGCCCCCUUCAAGAUGAGACUUCCCUGAGGACUAGAUCCUCCUAAAGAGCCGUUAAAGACUAUGACGUUGA